AUACGGAGGGUGCAAGCGUUACUCGGAAUCACUGGGCGUAAAGCGCGCGCAGGCGGGCUGAUAAGUUGGAUGAGAAAGCCUACGGCUCAACCGUAGAACUGCAUCCAAAACUGUCAGUCUAGAGUGUGGGAGAGGAAGAUGGAAUUAGUUGUGUAGGGGUAAAAUCCGUAGAGAUAACUAGGAAUACCAAAAGUGAAGGCAAUCUUCUGGAACACUACUGACGCUGAGGCGCGAAGGCGUGGGGAGCAAACAGGAUUAGAAACCCCAGUAGUCC
RNAcentral lists this ribosomal RNA (274 nucleotides) under uncultured bacterium. RNAcentral's name for it is "partial 16S ribosomal RNA". It matches the Rfam family "Bacterial small subunit ribosomal RNA", at positions 523 to 796 of the family's 1533-position model. The record is from RNAcentral.